GCUGGGCGUGGUGGCUCACGCCUGUAAUUCCAGCACUUUGGGAGGCCGAGGUGGGUGGAUCACCUGAGGUCAGGAGUUUGAGACCAGCCUGACCAACAUGGUGAAACCCCAUCUCUA
Molecule: small RNA, 117 nt
Filed under: Macaca mulatta (Rhesus monkey)
Lineage: Eukaryota; Metazoa; Chordata; Mammalia; Primates; Cercopithecidae
Description: Metazoan signal recognition particle RNA (ENSMMUG00000055698.1)
Source: Rfam by way of RNAcentral